RNAcentral lists this non-coding RNA (149 nucleotides) under Streptomyces lydicus. Its description in RNAcentral is "SAM-I sequence". It matches the Rfam family "SAM riboswitch aptamer (S box leader)". Rfam says of the family: The SAM riboswitch is found upstream of a number of genes which code for proteins involved in methionine or cysteine biosynthesis in Gram-positive bacteria. The record is from Rfam by way of RNAcentral. Lineage: Bacteria; Bacillati; Actinomycetota; Actinomycetes; Kitasatosporales; Streptomycetaceae.
CGCUCAUCCAGAGGGGCAGAGGGAUACGGCCCGUUGAAGCCCCGGCAACCCUCCAGUCGGUCUUGCCGCGUCCAGCGCGCGCGAGGCUCCCGGCUAGGGAAGGUGCCAAAUCCGUCUCGUGGCGAGAUGCGUCGCGAGGAAGAUGAGGA